UCAAACCAAGCCAUCAUAAAUACACCAGAGAUGACUAAAAUGAAAGUCUUUUCGCUCAUUGAGAUUUUUUGGUAGGUAUUAAGCUUCAAUUCGACCAUUAAUUACCGUAAAUUUUCGAUUUUUGCAAAAUUACGAAAAAUAUGUUAUAAUCCUUGACCUUCCCGAAGCUUAUACUUCGUUUAGUCGAUUGUAUGAAAGUUUUUUUUAAGAAACCGGUCUUUUACUGC
This 227-nucleotide long non-coding RNA is filed under the name Mytilus galloprovincialis (Mediterranean mussel). The record is from RNAcentral. Lineage: Eukaryota; Metazoa; Mollusca; Bivalvia; Mytilida; Mytilidae.